CGCGGGAUUGGGCACGGGGGGCCGGGGUGCACCAGGCGCGAAAUCUUUGCAAUAGGCGAAAGCCUGACAAGGUUACUCUGAGUGAUUUCCGAUAAGGAGAUCUUUUGACACCUCUAAAAAUGGUGUAGAAUAAGGGGUGGGCAAGCCUGGUGUCAGCCGCCGCGGUAAUACCAGCACCCCGAGUGGUCGGGACGAUUAUUGGGCCUAAAGCAUCCGUAGCCGGUUCUUUAAGUCCUCCGUUAAAUCCAUCUGCUUAACAGAUGGGCUGCGGAGGAUACUAUAGAGCUAGGAGGCGGGGGAGGCAAGCGGUACUCAGUGGGUAGGGGUAAAAUCCGUUGAUCCAUUGAAGACCACCAGUGGCGAAGGCGGCUUGCCAGAACGCGCUCGACGGUGAGGGAUGAAAGCUGGGGGAGCAAACCGGAUUAGAUACCCGGGUAGUCCCAGCUGUAAACGAUGCAGACUCGGUGAUGAAUAGGCUUAGUGCCUAUUCAGUGCCGCAGGGAAGCCGUUAAGUCUGCCGCCUGGGGAGUACGGUCGCAAGACUGAAACUUAAAGGAAUUGGCGGGGGAGCACCACAAGGGGUGAAGCCUGCGGUUCAAUUGGAGUCAACGCCGGAAAUCUUACCGGGGGAGACAGCAGAAUGAAGGUCAAGCUGAAGACUUUACCAGACAAGCUGAGAGGAGGUGCAUGGCCGUCGCCAGCUCGUGCCGUGAGGUGUCCUGUUAAGUCAGGUAACGAGCGAGAUCCCUACCUCUAGUUGCUACUGAUGCUCUCAGGAGUAUUGGGGCUAAUUAGAGGGACUGCCGUCGCUGAGACGGAGGAAGGAGGGGGCUACGGCAGGUCAGUAUGCCCCGAAACCCUCGGGCCACACGCGGGCUGCAAUGGUAAGGACAAUAAGUUCCAAUUCCGAAAGGAGAAGGCAAUCUCUAAACCUUACCUCAGUUAUGAUUGAGGGCUGAAACUCGUCCUCAUGAAUAUGGAAUCCCUAGUAACCGCGUGUCACUAUCGCGCGGUGAAUACGUCCCUGCUCCUUGCAGGGAAAAACCGAAUCACUAGU
RNAcentral lists this ribosomal RNA (1057 nucleotides) under uncultured crenarchaeote. RNAcentral describes it as "bacterial SSU rRNA". It matches the Rfam family "Archaeal small subunit ribosomal RNA", at positions 302 to 1478 of the family's 1478-position model. The record is from RNAcentral. Lineage: Archaea; Thermoproteati; Thermoproteota.